This 482-nucleotide ribosomal RNA is filed under the name uncultured bacterium. RNAcentral's name for it is "partial 16S ribosomal RNA". It matches the Rfam family "Bacterial small subunit ribosomal RNA", at positions 30 to 507 of the family's 1533-position model. The record is from RNAcentral.
AUUGAACGCUGGCGGCAUGCUUUACACAUGCAAGUCGAACGGUAACAGGUCUUCGGAUGCUGACGAGUGGCGAACGGGUGAGUAAUACAUCGGAACGUGCCUAGUAGUGGGGGAUAACUACUCGAAAGAGUAGCUAAUACCGCAUGAGGUCUACGGAUGAAAGCAGGGGACCUUCGGGCCUUGUGCUACUAGAGCGGCUGAUGGCAGAUUAGGUAGUUGGUGGGGUAAAGGCUUACCAAGCCUGCGAUCUGUAGCUGGUCUGAGAGGACGACCAGCCACACUGGGACUGAGACACGGUCCAGACUCCUACGGGAGGCAGCAGUGGGGAAUUUUGGACAAUGGGCGAAAGCCUGAUCCAGCCAUGCCGCGUGCAUGAAGAAGGCCCUCGGGUUGUAAACUGCUUUUGUACGGAACGAAAAGCCUGGGGCUAAUAUCCCCGUGUCAUGACGGUACCGUAAGAAUAAGCACCGGCUAACUACGUG